CCACCACGGCGUGUUCUGGCACUGCAUUGGGUACGGGACAGGGUACGGGUAAGGCACGGCCUUGUAUAUUGGUUUCGGCGGAUCAGGCUUCUUCUCAGGUUCGCACUUGCAGCAGCAUUUGCAUGGUUUGGGAACAGGUUUCUUCUCAGGCUCGCACUUGCAGCUGCAUUUGCAUGGUUUGGGUUCAGGUUUCUUCUCGGGCUCGCAUUUGCAGCUGCAUUUGCAUGGUUUGGGUUCAGGCUUCUUCUCAGGUUCGCAUUUGCAGCAGCAUUUGCAUGGUCUGGGAUCAGGUUUCUUCUCAGGUUCGGCUGGUUUUUUUGGCGGCCAUUCGGGGACGAUGAUGAUCUCCGUGACGACCUUGCAGGCCUUGGAGCAGAUCUUCUUGCGGAGCUUCUCGGCGUCGAACUUGCCGCGGACGAUCACCUUGUUGUUCUUGUCCUCGUACUCGAUCUUCUCGAUGCA
RNAcentral lists this long non-coding RNA (462 nucleotides) under Brachypodium distachyon (stiff brome). RNAcentral describes it as "long non-coding RNA (BDIS_LNC005709)". Lineage: Eukaryota; Viridiplantae; Streptophyta; Magnoliopsida; Poales; Poaceae. The record is from RNAcentral.